RNAcentral lists this long non-coding RNA (884 nucleotides) under Vitis vinifera (wine grape). RNAcentral's name for it is "long non-coding RNA (VVIN_LNC003188)". The record is from RNAcentral. Lineage: Eukaryota; Viridiplantae; Streptophyta; Magnoliopsida; Vitales; Vitaceae.
AGGGAAUGAGAUGAAUCACAAGCAACGAUAAAAACGACAGCGAAACAAUGGAUAUGUGAAGAAAGGUAGUGAUCGACUCAGAUCAAACAUGAAGUGAAGUCACAUCAAUAAUGAAUGUAAUAAGGGGAAGGACAAUGACUCGGAGUCCUUAGGAGAAGGUCACUCAUCUCUCUCACAGAUAGAUAUGACGGAGCAAUACAAAUAACAUGGGAUCUCAGAGAGCUCACAUACGAACUCCCAAUAACGAACAUACUCGAUAAAAAUGACCCCUAAACAUCAAUAUACAUACUCAACGAUCAAGAACACUAUGCACAUACACACAUGCGCUUUUUAUUAUUCUUUUUUUUUUUUUUUUUUUUUUUUUUUUUUUUUUUACAUAUAUACAAAUACACACACCUUGAACAUGAAUAACUGAACCCCAAAGGUGAUGUCGAUAACAGAUGGACACCAUCCCAAGUGCUAAGGCAACCAAAACUCUCUCUAAUGAGAUGACCUUCUCAAACUAAGGAUCUCUAAACCAAUGUCCGCGAGAUAGAUGGUGGAAAUGAUGUGACUAUCCUCCAUGUGAUGACCUGAGGGGGAUCACCACUCAGGGUGAAGAGAAAUAUGAAACAAACAAGUAGUAGAUAGGAUAAGGAAGAAGAGAUGAAUAACAUAACCAACAAGAUGAGACGAAAAUGCAAAAGUGCAGUGAUAGGAAAAGAUAAUGAGAAAAACAUGCCCCUAGGUCCAAGGCUCAUGAAACUACCAAACAAUGCAUACAUACAUUAAAAGGCCCCUAUCCUGGUGUGAACAUGUGAGCAAGGCGAUAAGAAAUAAAGGCUAUAAUGCGCAUGCGAGGCUCAAUGGGCUAGCAACGGACUAUGUAUCAAAAGGGAAUAACA